Molecule: ribosomal RNA, 403 nt
Filed under: uncultured bacterium
Lineage: Bacteria
Description: bacterial SSU rRNA
Rfam family: Bacterial small subunit ribosomal RNA
Source: RNAcentral
UGGGGAAUAUUGGACAAUGGGCGCAAGCCUGAUCCAGCAAUGCCGCGUGAGUGAUGAAGGCCUUCGGGUUGUAAAGCUCUUUUGCCGAUGACGAUGAUGACGGUAGUCGGCGAAUAAGCCCCGGCUAACUUCGUGCCAGCAGCCGCGGUAAUACGAAGGGGGCUAGCGUUGUUCGGAAUGACUGGGCGUAAAGGGCGCGUAGGCGGCGAAGCCAGUCAGGCGUGAAAUCCCCGGGCUCAACCUGGGAACUGCGCUUGAUACUGCUUUGCUCGAGACCGGGAGAGGAUGGCGGAAUACCCAGUGUAGAGGUGAAAUUCGUAGAUAUUGGGUAGAACACCGGUGGCGAAGGCGGCCAUCUGGACCGGAUCUGACGCUGAGGCGCGAAAGCGUGGGGAGCAAACAG